AACGAACGCUGGCGGCAUGCCUAACACAUGCAAGUCGAACGAGACCUUCGGGUCUAGUGCGCACGGGUGCGUCACGCGUGGGAACCUGCCCUUAGGUUCGGAAUAACUCCCCGAAAGGGGUGCUAAUACCGGAUAAUGUCUUCGGACCAAAGAUUUAUCGCCUUUGGAUGGGCCCGCGUUGGAUUAGCUAGUUGGUAGGGUAAAAGCCUACCAGGGCGACGAUCCAUAGCUGGUCUGAGAGGAUGAUCAGCCACACUGGGACUGAGACACGGCCCAGACUCCUACGGGAGGCAGCAGUGGGGAAUAUUGGACAAUGGGCGAAAGCCUGAUCCAGCAAUGCCGCGUGAGUGAUGAAGGCCUUAGGGUUGUAAAGCUCUUUUACCCGGGAUGAUAAUGACAGUACCGGGAGAAUAAGCUCCGGCUAACUCCGUG
This 432-nucleotide ribosomal RNA is filed under the name uncultured bacterium. Its description in RNAcentral is "partial 16S ribosomal RNA". It matches the Rfam family "Bacterial small subunit ribosomal RNA", at positions 29 to 507 of the family's 1533-position model. The record is from RNAcentral.